Long non-coding RNA from Xenia sp. Carnegie-2017, 3259 nucleotides. RefSeq lists it as uncharacterized. The transcript is spliced from 11 exons. The record is from RefSeq and is a predicted model, not a curated record. Lineage: Eukaryota; Metazoa; Cnidaria; Anthozoa; Malacalcyonacea; Xeniidae.
AGGGACUUGAAAAUGAGAUAGCUCAUAAUGCUGAUGUCUUGAAGGAGAAAAAGGAAAUGUUGGAAGUGCACAAGAAACUUAUUCAAAACUUUAGUAGAAUGCUUGAGGCGAAAGAAGAGGCGAGAUCACAACCCUUAAAGGUCGCUGCGACAUGGAUACAGUAACCAUGACUGAAUUGAAGCAAGUUUUGAAGGAGCAAGAAGAUCACAUCGACCAGUUAGAGGCGUGUAAUGGCGAUCUAAGGCUUGGCCGCGAUCAUGUCGAAAAGCGUUUGAAGGGCGUUCGCGAAGAACUCGAGGAAGCACAGAAAAAUCUCCAGGGACUUGAAAAUGAGAUAGCUCAUAAUGCUGAUGUCUUGAAGGAGAAAAAGGAAAUGUUGGAAGUGCACAAGAAACUUAUUCAAAACUUUAGUAGAAUGCUUGAGGCGAAAGAAGAGGCGAGAUCACAACCCUUAAAGGUCGCUGCGACAUGGAUACAGUAACCAUGACUGAAUUGAAGCAAGUUUUGAAGGAGCAAGAAGAUCACAUCGACCAGUUAGAGGCGUGUAAUGGCGAUCUAAGGCUUGGCCGCGAUCAUGUCGAAAAGCGUUUGAAGGGCGUUCGCGAAGAACUCGAGGAAGCACAGAAAAAUCUCCAGGGACUUGAAAAUGAGAUAGCUCAUAAUGCUGAUGUCUUGAAGGAGAAAAAGGAAAUGUUGGAAGUGCACAAGAAACUUAUUCAAAACUUUAGUAGAAUGCUUGAGGCGAAAGAAGAGGCGAGAUCACAACCCUUAAAGGUCGCUGCGACAUGGAUACAGUAACCAUGACUGAAUUGAAGCAAGUUUUGAAGGAGCAAGAAGAUCACAUCGACCAGUUAGAGGCGUGUAAUGGCGAUCUAAGGCUUGGCCGCGAUCAUGUCGAAAAGCGUUUGAAGGGCGUUCGCGAAGAACUCGAGGAAGCACAGAAAAAUCUCCAGGGACUUGAAAAUGAGAUAGCUCAUAAUGCUGAUGUCUUGAAGGAGAAAAAGGAAAUGUUGGAAGUGCACAAGAAACUUAUUCAAAACUUUAGUAGAAUGCUUGAGGCGAAAGAAGAGGCGAGAUCACAACCCUUAAAGGUCGCUGCGACAUGGAUACAGUAACCAUGACUGAAUUGAAGCAAGUUUUGAAGGAGCAAGAAGAUCACAUCGACCAGUUAGAGGCGUGUAAUGGCGAUCUAAGGCUUGGCCGCGAUCAUGUCGAAAAGCGUUUGAAGGGCGUUCGCGAAGAACUCGAGGAAGCACAGAAAAAUCUCCAGGGACUUGAAAAUGAGAUAGCUCAUAAUGCUGAUGUCUUGAAGGAGAAAAAGGAAAUGUUGGAAGUGCACAAGAAACUUAUUCAAAACUUUAGUAGAAUGCUUGAGGCGAAAGAAGAGGCGAGAUCACAACCCUUAAAGGUCGCUGCGACAUGGAUACAGUAACCAUGACUGAAUUGAAGCAAGUUUUGAAGGAGCAAGAAGAUCACAUCGACCAGUUAGAGGCGUGUAAUGGCGAUCUAAGGCUUGGCCGCGAUCAUGUCGAAAAGCGUUUGAAGGGCGUUCGCGAAGAACUCGAGGAAGCACAGAAAAAUCUCCAGGGACUUGAAAAUGAGAUAGCUCAUAAUGCUGAUGUCUUGAAGGAGAAAAAGGAAAUGUUGGAAGUGCACAAGAAACUUAUUCAAAACUUUAGUAGAAUGCUUGAGGCGAAAGAAGAGGCGAGAUCACAACCCUUAAAGGUCGCUGCGACAUGGAUACAGUAACCAUGACUGAAUUGAAGCAAGUUUUGAAGGAGCAAGAAGAUCACAUCGACCAGUUAGAGGCGUGUAAUGGCGAUCUAAGGCUUGGCCGCGAUCAUGUCGAAAAGCGUUUGAAGGGCGUUCGCGAAGAACUCGAGGAAGCACAGAAAAAUCUCCAGGGACUUGAAAAUGAGAUAGCUCAUAAUGCUGAUGUCUUGAAGGAGAAAAAGGAAAUGUUGGAAGUGCACAAGAAACUUAUUCAAAACUUUAGUAGAAUGCUUGAGGCGAAAGAAGAGGCGAGAUCACAACCCUUAAAGGUCGCUGCGACAUGGAUACAGUAACCAUGACUGAAUUGAAGCAAGUUUUGAAGGAGCAAGAAGAUCACAUCGACCAGUUAGAGGCGUGUAAUGGCGAUCUAAGGCUUGGCCACGAUCAUGUGGAAAAGCGUUUGAAGGGCGUUCGCGAAGAACUCGAGGAAGCACAGAAAAAUCUCCAGGGACUUGAAAAUGAGAUAGCUCAUAAUGCUGAUGUCUUGAAGGAGAAAAAGGAAAUGUUGGAAGUGCACAAGAAACUUAUUCAAAACUUUAGUAGAAUGCUUGAGGCGAAAGAAGAGGCGAGAUCACAACCCUUAAAGGUCGCUGCGACAUGGAUACAGUAACCAUGACUGAAUUGAAGCAAGUUUUGAAGGAGCAAGAAGAUCACAUCGACCAGUUAGAGGCGUGUAAUGGCGAUCUAAGGCUUGGCCGCGAUCAUGUCGAAAAGCGUUUGAAGGGCGUUCGCGAAGAACUCGAGGAAGCACAGAAAAAUCUCCAGGGACUUGAAAAUGAGAUAGCUCAUAAUGCUGAUGUCUUGAAGGAGAAAAAGGAAAUGUUGGAUGUGCACAAGAAACUUAUUCAAAACUUUAGUAGAAUGCUUGAGGCGAAAGAAGAGGCGAGAUCACAACCCUUAAAGGUCGCUGCGACAUGGAUACAGUAACCAUGACUGAAUUGAAGCAAGUUUUGAAGGAGCAAGAAUAUCACAUCGACCAGUUAGAUGCGUGUAAUGGCGAUCUAAGGCUUGGCCGCGAUCAUGUCGAAAAGCGUUUGAAGGGCGUUCGCGAAGAACUCGAGGAAGCACAGAAAAAUCUCCAGGGACUUGAAAAUGAGAUAGCUCAUAAUGCUGAUGUCUUGAAGGAGAAAAAAGAAAUGUUGGAAGUGCACAAGAAACUUAUUCAAAACUUUAGUAGAAUGCUUGAGGCGAAAGAAGAGGCGAGAUCACAACCCUUAAAGGUCGCUGCGACAUGGAUACAGUAACCAUGACUGAAUUGAAGCAAGUUUUGAAGGAGCAAGAAGAUCACAUCGACCAGUUAGAGGCGUGUAAUGGCGAUCUAAGGCUUGGCCACGAUCAUGUGGAAAAGCGUUUGAAGGGCGUUUGCGAAGAACUCGAGGAAGCACAGAAAAAUCUCCAGGGACUUGAAAAUGAGAUAGCUCAUAAUGCUGAUGUCUUGAAGGAGAAAAAGGAAAUGUUGGAAGUGCACAAGAAACUUAUUCAAAAC